UACGUAGGGGGCGAGCGUUGUCCGGAUUUAUUGGGCGUAAAGAGCUCGUAGGCGGUUCGGUAAGUCGGAUGUGAAAUCUCCACGCUCAACGUGGAGGGGCCAUUCGAUACUGCCGUGACUCGAGUCCGGUAGGGGAGUGUGGAAUUCCCGGUGUAGCGGUGAAAUGCGCAGAGAUCGGGAGGAACACCCGUAGCGAAGGCGGCACUCUGGGCCGGUACUGACGCUGAGGAGCGAAAGCGUGGGGAGCAAA
This 250-nucleotide ribosomal RNA is filed under the name uncultured bacterium. RNAcentral describes it as "partial 16S ribosomal RNA". It matches the Rfam family "Bacterial small subunit ribosomal RNA", at positions 524 to 772 of the family's 1533-position model. The record is from RNAcentral.